GCGUUAAGGGCUUCGCAGGCGGUUUUUUAAGUCUGAAUGUGAAAGCCCCCGGCUUCAACCGGGGAGGGUCAUUGGAAACUGGGAAACUUGAGUGCAGAAGAGGAGAGUGGAAUUCCACGUGUAGCGGUGAAAUGCGUAGAGAUGUGGAGGAACACCAGUGGCGAAGGCGACUCUCUGGUCUGUAACUGACGCUGAGGAGCGAAAGCGUGGGGAGCGAACAGGAUUAGAUACCCUGGUAGUCCACGCCGUAAACGAUGAGUGCUAAGUGUUAGGGGGUUUCCGCCCCUUAGUGCUGCAGCUAACGCAUUAAGCACUCCGCCUGGGGAGUACGGUCGCAAGACUGAAACUCAAAGGAAUUGACGGGGGCCCGCACAAGCGGUGGAGCAUGUGGUUUAAUUCGAAGCAACGCGAAGAACCUUACCAGGUCUUGACAUCCUCUGACAACCCUAGAGAUAGGGCUUUCCCUUCGGGGACAGAGUGACAGGUGGUGCAUGGUUGUCGUCAGCUCGUGUCGUGAGAUGUUGGGUUAAGUCCCGCAACGAGCGCAACCCUUGAUCUUAGUUGCCAGCAUUCAGUUGGGCACUCUAAGGUGACUGCCGGUGACAAACCGGAGGAAGGUGGGGAUGACGUCAAAUCAUCAUGCCCCUUAUGACCUGGGCUACACACGUGCUACAAUGGACAGAACAAAGGGCU
This 693-nucleotide ribosomal RNA is filed under the name Bacillus pumilus. RNAcentral's name for it is "bacterial SSU rRNA". It matches the Rfam family "Bacterial small subunit ribosomal RNA", at positions 558 to 1248 of the family's 1533-position model. The record is from RNAcentral. Lineage: Bacteria; Bacillati; Bacillota; Bacilli; Caryophanales; Bacillaceae.